UUGAACGCUGGCGGCAGGCCUAACACAUGCAAGUCGAACUGUAACAGGAAGAAGCUUGCUUCUUUGCUGACGAGUGGCGGACGGGUGAGUAAUGUCUGGGAAACUGCCUGAUGGAGGGGGAUAACUACUGGAAACGGUAGCUAAUACCGCAUAACGUCGCAAGACCAAAGAGGGGGACCUUCGGGCCUCUUGCCAUCGGAUGUGCCCAGAUGGGAUUAGCUAGUAGGUGGGUUAACGGCUCACCUAGGCGACGAUCCCUAGCUGGUCUGAGAGGAUGACCAGCCACACUGGAACUGAGACACGGUCCAGACUCCUACGGGAGGCAGCAGUGGGGAAUAUUGCACAAUGGGCGCAAGCCUGAUGCAGCCAUGCCGCGUGUAUGAAGAAGGCCUUCGGGUUGUAAAGUACUUUCAGCGGGGAGGAAGGGAGUAAAGUUAAUACCUUGGCUCAUUGACGUUACCCGCAGAAGAAGCACCGGCUAACUCCGUG
This 489-nucleotide ribosomal RNA is filed under the name uncultured bacterium. Its description in RNAcentral is "partial 16S ribosomal RNA". It matches the Rfam family "Bacterial small subunit ribosomal RNA", at positions 30 to 507 of the family's 1533-position model. The record is from RNAcentral.